Molecule: long non-coding RNA, 1805 nt
Organism: Nasonia vitripennis (jewel wasp)
Lineage: Eukaryota; Metazoa; Arthropoda; Insecta; Hymenoptera; Pteromalidae
Exons: 7
Source: RefSeq, a predicted model, not a curated record
UAUUAUAAUGUUUAUAUCUAUGACGUAUACAACCUGUUUAUCCAGAAACCUAACCUUAUUUUAUACAUAUAUAUGCUGGAACUGAAGUAUUAGUCUAUGGAAGGUUCGCUCUGUAUGACUACCAAAAUAUAUAUGCGCGUCAGUUAACCGUCAGUGCGCAUGAGGUCGCGUUUAUACACGUAGUUUGAAAUUCCGGCAGCGUCAGUCGCCACUGCAUCAUGUACGCUUUUAUAAUUAAACUCUGUUUAGUUACGCCUAGAUGGCGCUGUAGCGACCACUCAUAUGUGUUUAGAGAUUAGGAUGAUUGCAUCUCUUCUUCUACGCUCCCUAAUAGGAGAUAAGGUAGGCAAGGACGAACAGACAAGGUACAAGGAAUAAAGAUAAUACUGAGUGCUGAUUGUGACUGAAUAAUAUUAAACUAUGUACAAGAUGACUAGGUCUGUUCGCACCGGCGGCCAGGCCGUGACUGAUUCACGAAAGUGACUAAGCUUCCAUGUUCCCCUCGCGCUCGCCACGCCGUGGUGCUCUACUAGGCGGCGCGUCGGUCUGGCACAGACUGCUGGCAGAAUAUAAUAAUGGAAGAUAAUAAUGAUACCUCAACUGAUGAUACAGAAACUGUAUCAUCCAAAGAUGUCGAACCGCUAUCGAGGAGAAGCAAAAGUUCUCUCAGUUCGCAGUUACAAGUAUUGAAAAUAGAGAAUCGAAAACUUGAAAAAACUAUUGCCACUAUGUACAAAGAGAUGGGUACAGCUAAAUUGGAAUCCUACGCACUACUGAAGGAUAUGAAAGAAACACGACAAAUUUUAAAAGAGAUGAACCUUACUUGCAGAAAAUGUAAUGAGAUGGAUAUCAAGAAAAAAACAAUGAGAAGCUAUUUAAAAGCUUAGAAGACAUCGUAAACAUUAGCUUUAUUUCUCCAUUUGAGAUAUACUCACCAAGGAGACAAGUACCCCAAGAAAAGCUCCCAAGGUUACAUCCGAACCAUUACCUCAAAUACAAUCAAGUUUUGAGUAAGAUUUGGAUGAGCCAUUUACUAAAGAAGUUAGUCUACUUUUGCCAGAGAUUACCGUCAUUGAAUCAAGGAAUGCGGACUCACCUACAGAUGAUGAGGCAGAGAUGGAAGCUGAUCACAGUAGUCAGAGCGUUAAGGUUGAGGUAAAAGCUGUGCGGGAAUGCAUGUUGUCUGUACAGUCAUAAUUUUCACUUUUAACAGAGAUGUAGUAAAUGAAAAUUUCUUUCCUGAUCGCUAAACAAUAUUUAAGUACGUGAAAUACUAUUAGAUAGCAACUCGGCUGCUCAAUAUCCGACAAAAAGGACCUGCUUCAAAAAAGAUGUAUCUGCCGCAUCCCAGAAACCAUCAGUGCCUCAGGACCCAUCUAUCACGUGCUUAAGUGUGUUAAAAUUUAUAUUUAUUACUGUUUUUUAACAUAAGAAACCAGCAGAAGUCGUCUCCGACACCGCCCCUAAAGUCGAUAUUGAACACGGCGUUCAGCUUUCAGCAGCAAUCGUUGACAAAUUGUGAAAUAAAGAUCUGCGAAACUUACUAUUGGACUUAUGUAACGCACUUUUUAGAAAAGAGGAUUUUGCAAUAUCUUUGAUGAGCAGCAAAAAAGGCCGCUUGUCGUAUAGUGCAAAACCAGCAAUAUCAAGCUAUGCUGCUAAAAGUCUGCCGUCGGAGACCAAAGAAAAUAUUGAAAAGACUCUCAAGACAAUUUUGUGUGACAAAUGUAAAAACGCAGCCAAGGAGAUAAAAAAAAGGAAUGUAAUGAUAUGAAUAUAAUUUAUAUAGAAUUAGUUCAUUAAUA